AACAAAUGCCCUGCUUCCAGGAAAAGCCUCUAAGCAUCAGGUAACAUCAAAUCGUACCCCAAACCGACACAGGUGGUCAGGUAGAGAAUACCAAGGCGCUUGAGAGAACUCGGGUGAAGGAACUAGGCAAAAUGGUGCCGUAACUUCGGGAGAAGGCACGCUGAUAUGUAGGUGAAGUCCCUCGCGGAUGGAGCUGAAAUCAGUCGAAGAUACCAGCUGGCUGCAACUGUUUAUUAAAAACACAGCACUGUGCAAACACGAAAGUGGACGUAUACGGUGUGACGCCUGCCCGGUGCCGGAAGGUUAAUUGAUGGGGUCAGCGCAAGCGAAGCUCUUGAUCGAAGCCCCGGUAAACGGCGGCCGUAACUAUAACGGUCCUAAGGUAGCGAAAUUCCUUGUCGGGUAAGUUCCGACCUGCACGAAUGGCGUAAUGAUGGCCAGGCUGUCUCCACCCGAGACUCAGUGAAAUUGAACUCGCUGUGAAGAUGCAGUGUACCCGCGGCAAGACGGAAAGACCCCGUGAACCUUUACUAUAGCUUGACACUGAACAUUGAGCCUUGAUGUGUAGGAUAGGUGGGAGGCUUUGAAGUGUGGACGCCAGUCUGCAUGGAGCCGACCUUGAAAUACCACCCUUUAAUGUUUGAUGUUCUAACGUGGACCCGUGAUCCGGGUUGCGGACAGUGUCUGGUGGGUAGUUUGACUGGGGCGGUCUCCUCCUAAAGAGUAACGGAGGAGCACGAAGGUUGGCUAAUCCUGGUCGGACAUCAGGAGGUUAGUGCAAUGGCAUAAGCCAGCUUGACUGCGAGCGUGACGGCGCGAGCAGGUGCGAAAGCAGGUCAUAGUGAUCCGGUGGUUCUGAAUGGAAGGGCCAUCGCUCAACGGAUAAAAGGUACUCCGGGGAUAACAGGCUGAUACCGCCCAAGAGUUCAUAUCGACGGCGGUGUUUGGCACCUCGAUGUCGGCUCAUCACAUCCUGGGGCUGAAGUAGGUCCCAAGGGUAUGGCUGUUCGCCAUUUAAAGUGGUACGCGAGCUGGGUUUAGAACGUCGUGAGACAGUUCGGUCCCUAUCUGCCGUGGGCGCUGGAGAACUGAGGGGGGCUGCUCCUAGUACGAGAGGACCGGAGUGGACGCAUCACUGGUGUUCGGGUUGUCAUGCCAAUGGCACUGCCCGGUAGCUAAAUGCGGAAGAGAUAAGUGCUGAAAGCAUCUAAGCACGAAACUUGCCCCGAGAUGAGUUCUCCCUGACCCUUUAAGGGUCCUGAAGGAACGUUGAAGACGACGACGUUGAUAGGCCGGGUGUGUAAGCGCAGCGAUGCGUUGAGCUAACCGGUACUAAUGAACCGUGAGGCUUAACCUU
Molecule: ribosomal RNA, 1357 nt
Filed under: Escherichia coli
Lineage: Bacteria; Pseudomonadati; Pseudomonadota; Gammaproteobacteria; Enterobacterales; Enterobacteriaceae
Description: partial 23S ribosomal RNA
Rfam family: Bacterial large subunit ribosomal RNA
Source: RNAcentral